AGGACGAACGCUGGCGGCGUGCUUAACACAUGCAAGUCGAACGGGGUCCAUCCAGUGGCAACACCGGAGAAGACCCAGUGGCGAACGGGUGAGUAACACGUGAGGAACCUGCCCCGAAGACCGGGAUAACAGCGGGAAACCGCUGCUAAUACCGGAUACCCCCACCGGGUCACAUGGCCUGAUGAGGAAAUGGAUUCCGCUUCGGGAGGGCCUCGCGGCCUAUCAGCUUGUUGGUGAGGUGACGGCUCACCAAGGCGACGACGGGUAGCUGGUCUGAGAGGACGAUCAGCCACACUGGGACUGAGACACGGCCCAGACUCCUACGGGAGGCAGCAGUGGGGAAUCUUGCGCAAUGGGCGAAAGCCUGACGCAGCAACGCCGCGUGAGGGAUGAAGGCCUUCGGGUUGUAAACCUCUUUCGAGCAGGGACGAUAAUGACGGUACCUGCAGAGAAGCUCCGGCCAACUACGCGCCAGCAGCCGCGGU
RNAcentral lists this ribosomal RNA (485 nucleotides) under uncultured bacterium. Its description in RNAcentral is "SSU rRNA". It matches the Rfam family "Bacterial small subunit ribosomal RNA", at positions 26 to 521 of the family's 1533-position model. The record is from RNAcentral.